UUUAUUUAUUUUGUUUUGGUUUUAGGGUUGAAAGUAUGGUCAGCUUAUCUCUGUAGCUCAACUUUGAUUCGUUCUGUUUUAUUAUAUUUGGGUGAUGUGGAUGUUGUUGUGAUUGUAUGUUGACCGGUUCAAUUCCUCGGAUUAUAUUUUCCAUGAGUUGACGGUGAUUUUGGUUUUCGUUUGUCGUACAUCCCUUUAUUUGUAGAUUUGGUUCUAAGUUUUCUAGCUAGUUUCGUGAAGUGGAGCCUGUAGGUAUUUUGUGUAAUUUCCGGCGUCGUUGUGUAAUUUCCGGCGUCGUUGCGUUCUGAUUCCGGCACUGUCUCUUUUUUUUCGUUUUCAACGAUUGUACGAUGUGGUUGGUUGUGUAUCUCCAGUUUUUUUUUGAGGUUUAUUUAUUUAUUUGUUUUUCCAACUAUCUUUUGUUAUUGUUGUGUAUUCCGCUUUGCUGAAGCAAUUGUGGAGAAUGUUCUUCGAAAUGUUUUAUUUGGCGUCUGGAAUGCUUCCCCAGAGUUUGUCAGGCGGAUGUAGCUCUCAAGUUUGGCAUUGUAUAUUGACUUGUCGCUGUAAGUGUAGCCCUGAAUUCUCUAGAGUACGUAUUUUUAUACCAUCAGGUCACUGUGGUGUGGUUUGGCUGAAUUGAGGAUCCAAAACUGAUCUUGAUUUGUUAUGACGCGUUUGUCUGUUUCGAUCCACAGUCACUCACUGUAAACUGGGAUAUGGCAGUUCGAAUGGAAUGGUUAUCUCAUUCACCGAGAAUGGGCCGUCUACUGUGGUUGCUGGACUGGGAGUCAACAUCGACCACGUCUGGCAUCGCACUCGUGCUCAUUAGAUUGAGGAUUGGAGCAAAGUUAUGAGACCGAAGAUUGCGCGCAAUCUGACAGUCAUCAGUAUUUAUGACGAUCUAGACUUCAAUGGAGCUACAUCUCAACAGCUUACUUUGCAAUAUGCGGAUGAUACGUCAUUCUUUGUCCGUGCAAAAGAACAAGUGAAAACAUUGAUUGAUAUCCUCGACACCUUUGCCUUGGCCUCCGGACUAGUGAUUAAUUGGGCAAAAUCCAGUGAUUAUUGGGACACAAACUCGUUGUAAAUCAAAUUCUACUAUCAACACGCUAGUACUUCGUGGGGGUAUGAACAUGCUCACGGAAGGUUAUUAAACAAAUCAAGGCUCUCCUCAGGAACUAUCUUUGGACUGGAAGAGAACAUCGUACAAGUGCAUGAGUGGCGUGGUUGACAUGAAUCCU
Physcomitrium patens is the source of this 1241-nucleotide non-coding RNA. Lineage: Eukaryota; Viridiplantae; Streptophyta; Bryopsida; Funariales; Funariaceae. The record is from RefSeq and is a predicted model, not a curated record.